UAGGGAAUCUUCGGCAAUGGGUUUGAACCCUGGGGGAGCACCGCCGCGCGACNCCCGCGGGGUUUGAAAAAAGUUUUUUUUUUUUUNAAAAUCUUUUUUUUUAAAAAAAAAAANUUGGGGGGGGGGGAAAAAUUCCCCCCAAAGGGGGUUUUUUCCCCAAAAAGGGGGGGGGAAAUUUGGGCCCCCCCCCCCGGGUAAAUAUUAGGUUCCGGGGUUUUUCCGGGAUUUUUGGGGGGUAAGGGGGGCCAGGGGGGGUAAAAAAAUUUGGAAGUGAAAGGCAGUGGCUCAACCAUUGUAGGCUUUGGAAACUGUUUAACUUGAGUGCAGAAGGGGAGAGUGGAAUUCCAUGUGUAGCGGUGAAAUGCGUAGAUAUAUGGAGGAACACCGGUGGCGAAAGCGGCUCUCUGGUCUGUAACUGACGCUGAGGCUCGAAAGCGUGGGGAGCGAACAGGAUUAGAUACCCUGGUAGUCCACGCCGUAAACGAUGAGUGCUAGGUGUUAGGUCCUUUCCGGGACUUAGUGCCGCAGCUAACGCAUUAAGCACUCCGCCUGGGGAGUACGACCGCAAGGUUG
This 573-nucleotide ribosomal RNA is filed under the name uncultured bacterium. RNAcentral's name for it is "partial 16S rRNA". It matches the Rfam family "Bacterial small subunit ribosomal RNA", at positions 1 to 896 of the family's 1533-position model. The record is from RNAcentral.